This is a long non-coding RNA of Dama dama (fallow deer), 2439 nucleotides long. RefSeq lists it as uncharacterized. The record is from RefSeq and is a predicted model, not a curated record. The transcript is spliced from 3 exons. NCBI's taxonomy places the organism in Eukaryota, Metazoa, Chordata, Mammalia, Artiodactyla, Cervidae.
CCAACUCCUUAAGCUAAUUACACCUGCAAAAUCCUUCUUUCCACAUAAGGUAACAUAGCACAGGUUGUGGGGAAUAGCACAGGGACAUCUUAGGAACCAUUAUUCUGCCUACCACACACCCCCAUUUCUCUCAUCUUUGAAUUCUUACUUGUCCCUCCCCUGUACUUCUUAUUUCAAUAAACAGCUUUAUCAUUCAUUUUGAAUCCUAGAGCUAACUAUUGAUUCUCUUCUUUCUCUUACCAGUAAUUUUCAGAAAUUUGCCAAAAUCCAAUGCUUGAGCAAAUUUUGUUCAUUCUAUCUCCAAUAUCCUUCUUAAUUAUCUACUAUAAUCCCAGUCGUGGUUACCACCAAAUCUCAUCCUGAUGAUGGUAAAAGCCUCCUUGUUGGUCUCUCCAUCCACUAUUGCUUUACUCCUAUCUCUAUACUAUCUCUGUAGUCUGUAUCUACAGAUGAAAUCAUACUUUUUUUUUUUUUUUUUGAACUUAUUUUGUAUUGAAGUGAAGUGAAGUGAAGUGAAAGUCGAUCAGCCGUGUCUGACUUUUUGCAACCCCAUGCACUCGUCCAUGGAAUUCUGGCCAGAAUACUGGAGUGGAUAGCCUUUCCCUUCUCCAGGGUAUCUUCCCAACCCAGGGAUCGAACCCGUGUCUCCCGCAUUGCGGGCGGAUUCGUUACCAGCUGAGCCACAAGGGAAGCAGAAGAAUACUGCAGUGGGUAGCCUAUCCUUUCUCCAGGGGAUCUUCCUGACCCAGGAAUCAAACCGGGGUCUCCUGCAUUGCAGGCGGAUUCUUUACCAGCUGAGCUACCAGGGACAUAGCCAAUUAGCAAAGUUGUGGUAGUUCCAGGCGAACAGCAAAGGGACUGAGCCAUAAAAGGGACCCGAUGCAUCUCCCAUCCAGGCUGUCCCAUAAUACUGAGCAGCAGUUCCAUGUUCUAUACAGUAGAGUCUUGCUGAUUAUCCAUUUUAAAUAUAGCAGUGUGUACAUGUCCAUCCCAAACGUCCUAAGGAUCCCUUCUCCUGCUCCAACCAGAAGUUCCUUUUCUAAGUCUGUGAGUCUCCUUCUGUUUUCUAAGUUCAUUUGUAUCAUUUUUUAGAUACCAUAUAUAAGGGGUGUCAUAUCAGAAUCAUACUUUUAAAAAUGCAAAUUUGAUUAAGUCACUCUCUUUCAAAAGAUCUUUCAAUGGCUUGGUGUAUCUCAAUUCAACAUAAAGAAAUUGGUUCUUCAUUUUCUGUACACUGUGCGUGUUGCCUGCAACAGACUCUUCGGCAGAGUGCAGGCGUUUCUUUAGCUGACCUAUUACCCACGCGGAUUCUUGAGAAGGGGAAAAAUCGUGCAGGGGUGUAUGAAAGCGAAGCUGUGAGAAUCCACCGCUUCUGCCCCGAGCUGCCCACCCUCACACGUAGAACACAUCAAGGAGAUGACAGCUCUGCCUAAUUUUCCUCCUGUACCAGGAUCUCUAAGGUGUUCCUUGGGAGCGAGACUUGUUAGAAGCCAUGCAAACCCGGAGUAGACAAGACCUCGCUCACCAAGGGGAAGUUGUGGUCAACAGAUUUUUGUCGGGAACCUUCGCUGCACUUCUCAAACCCAGGGAGCGGCAUCCGGGGAGUGGUCCUUGCCUCCGCUGCACUUUCCCCGACUUCGGUUUUCUCCGAGAUCGCCUCUGGUUCCUUGGGCGCUUGGGACGGACGGGCACCUCCUCUCCGUGGAAACGGGACCCUCUCCGGCUGCCGUCGCCCGGAUCUCCGGCUCGGCUCGGGAGGAGCACUCCGGGCGAUUCUGGCGCUGCUCGCGCGCCCGGCGGCCGGGGGUGAGGUGCGCGGGCGCGUGUCUCUUUCCAAGGGCUGAGCGCGCGAGAAGGCAGGUCGGCUCUGGGAAUCCCCUCGGUUCCGGACCCCGGUGGCGCUGCUCCAGUUCCUCUCUUCGUGGGGCUUCUGCUGGGCCCCGUGCAGAUGCUGGCCGACUGCCGCACGGAAUUCCUUGCGUUUGCCUCAUUUGUACAGAGACUGUCUAUAGCAGAAUGUGGCGCGGGUCAUAGGGAAAGAAAAGGGCAUUGGGGGAUUCGACAGAGACAAAAAAUAUGAGGAUGAGACAGAUCUGGAAGUGAGGUCUUUUGGAAAAUGAUGCUUGGUAAAUCAUGUGGAUCUUUUCUAGAGCUCAUAAACGGCAAAAUGAAGAUCAACAAAGACACUCGGUUUGGAUCAACUUUUAAUUAUUUUUGUAAUAAAGGAUGAGUUGGCAGUAGCAUUGUUUGGGAUAACAGUUCUAGAAUUGUAACAGUAGUCUUUAAAUAAUAGUCUCAGAGUCAAACUACUUAUUCAUUCAAAAUAUAACUUUAAGUUUUCUAAGUAGAGAUGGUGACUUGAACCCAGGCAUUUAACUACCCUUGCAAUGACUAAACAAAUAUUUGAAAAAAAUAGGAAAAAACUGUAUGCAAGAUAGA